GCUUGCUUUUGCGAAUAUUCUGCGCUCUGAGUGGCUGUGAUAUGUUCAGUUGAGUCAGCAUAUCACAGUCAAUGCUUUGGGCUCAGAAUAUUCUGCUCUC
This 100-nucleotide microRNA precursor is filed under the name Capitella teleta. RNAcentral's name for it is "microRNA cte-mir-2e precursor (cte-mir-2e-1, cte-mir-2e-2)". Its record names the gene cte-mir-2e-1. The record is from miRBase by way of RNAcentral. Lineage: Eukaryota; Metazoa; Annelida; Polychaeta; Capitellidae.